Small nuclear RNA from Phyllostomus discolor (pale spear-nosed bat), 125 nucleotides. Lineage: Eukaryota; Metazoa; Chordata; Mammalia; Chiroptera; Phyllostomidae. The record is from RefSeq and is a predicted model, not a curated record.
CUUUUGUAUGAAAGGAAAGAAAGGUAGCGCUCUCCUGGACAAGAACAGAAGAGGCCCAUGGGCCUCACAACGUGCAGACCAUUAAGGCAUUGCCACCUACUUCACGGCUUUUUCCACUUCUACUU